UAGGGAAUCUUCGGCAAUGGGGGCAACCCUGACCGAGCAACGCCGCGUGAGUGAAGAAGGUUUUCGGAUCGUAAAGCUCUGUUGUAAGUCAAGAACGAGUGUGAGAGUGGAAAGUUCACACUGUGACGGUAGCUUACCAGAAAGGGACGGCUAACUACGUGCCAGCAGCCGCGGUAAUACGUAGGUCCCGAGCGUUGUCCGGAUUUAUUGGGCGUAAAGCGAGCGCAGGCGGUUUGAUAAGUCUGAAGUUAAAGGCUGUGGCUCAACCAUAGUUCGCUUUGGAAACUGUCAAACUUGAGUGCAGAAGGGGAGAGUGGAAUUCCAUGUGUAGCGGUGAAAUGCGUAGAUAUAUGGAGGAACACCGGUGGCGAAAGCGGCUCUCUGGUCUGUAACUGACGCUGAGGCUCGAAAGCGUGGGGAGCGAACAGGAUUAGAUACCCUGGUAGUCCACGCCGUNNCGAUGAGUGCUAGGUGUUGGAUCCUUUCCGGGANUCAGUGCCGCAGCUAANGCANUANCACUCCGCCUGGGGGAGUACGACCGCAAGGUU
This 548-nucleotide ribosomal RNA is filed under the name uncultured bacterium. RNAcentral's name for it is "bacterial SSU rRNA". It matches the Rfam family "Bacterial small subunit ribosomal RNA", at positions 355 to 895 of the family's 1533-position model. The record is from RNAcentral.